Long non-coding RNA from Psammomys obesus (fat sand rat), 642 nucleotides. RefSeq lists it as uncharacterized. The record is from RefSeq and is a predicted model, not a curated record. The transcript is spliced from 3 exons. NCBI's taxonomy places the organism in Eukaryota, Metazoa, Chordata, Mammalia, Rodentia, Muridae.
CAGUUUGCCAGGCUCCAGCCAUCGAGCUUACAGUGGGCGGAGGACAACCAACUGACGGAAGGGAUGGGAAAGACAAAGUGGCAGGAAAAAGGACCCUGAGCAGAAAAUGGUCUCAACUGGGAGACAGAAGAAAUCUGAACGCACCACCGAGGGACUCUCUCACGGGGGAGUUGCAGGAGAACUAGAAAGCGGGAUGUCAUUAACCCUACGGAUGAAGACCUCAGGAAGCAAUCGGGAUUCAAUGCAGGGUAUUUUUAAGUGGGCAGCAGACAUUAAAGAGACUUAAUCAAGCGAGGAGCAGACUAAAUCCAAGGUCCCAGAGCCUAGGGGAGCUGGGGACUCCCCAAUAGCUGAACAGCUUCUGCUGUAAGGAGACAGUUGUCUGAGUCCAGCCAUCUCAAGGACACCUUCUCCAUCUUUCUGGCAGGAUCAAACAAGUUCAUGUUCCAGGCACAGGAACCAACUCCAAUGCUAAUUGGUGCAAAAAUGUGACAAUAACUUGGCACAGAUGUUUGUGCUUUGCAAGCUUAAAUAUUCUGUGAUGUUCUGGCUCUGGGUUGCAGUUCAGCUUCUGAGUCUGUUCUGUGGUCCUGGUCAAUCAGUAGUGGCUUGAUUACAAUAAAUUUUUAUCAUUUGCAUUGA